UACGUAGGGGGCUAGCGUUGUCCGGAAUCAUUGGGCGUAAAGAGCGUGUAGGCGGUCCGGUAAGUCCGUUGUGAAAGUCAGGGGCUCAACCCUUGAAUGCCGGCGGAUACUGUCGGGCUAGAGUCCGGAAGAGGCAAGUGGAAUUCCCGGUGUAGCGGUGAAAUGCGCAGAUAUCGGGAGGAACACCGGUGGCGAAGGCGGGUCUCUGGGCCGAUACUGACGCUGAGGAGCGAAAGCGUGGGGAGCGAACAGG
Molecule: ribosomal RNA, 253 nt
Filed under: uncultured bacterium
Lineage: Bacteria
Description: partial 16S ribosomal RNA
Rfam family: Bacterial small subunit ribosomal RNA
Source: RNAcentral